This 481-nucleotide ribosomal RNA is filed under the name uncultured bacterium. RNAcentral describes it as "partial 16S ribosomal RNA". It matches the Rfam family "Bacterial small subunit ribosomal RNA", at positions 28 to 507 of the family's 1533-position model. The record is from RNAcentral.
GAUGAACGCUGGCGGCGUGCUUAACACAUGCCAGUCGAACGAAGCACUUUAUUUGAUUUCCUUCGGGACUGAUUAUUUUGUGACUGAGUGGCGGACGGGUGAGUAACGCGUGGGUAACCUGCCUUGUACAGGGGGAUAACAGUUGGAAACGGCUGCUAAUACCGCAUAAGCGCACAGUAUCUCAUGAUGCAGUGUGAAAAACUCCGGUGGUGUAAGAUGGACCCGCGUUGGAUUAGCUAGUUGGUGAGGUAACGGCCCACCAAGGCGACGAUCCAUAGCCGACCUGAGAGGGUGACCGGCCACAUUGGGACUGAGACACGGCCCAAACUCCUACGGGAGGCAGCAGUGGGGAAUAUUGCACAAUGGGCGAAAGCCUGAUGCAGCGACGCCGCGUGAGCGAAGAAGUAUUUCGGUAUGUAAAGCUCUAUCAGCAGGGAAGAUAAUGACGGUACCUGAAUAAGAAGCACCGGCUAAAUACGUG